RNAcentral lists this ribosomal RNA (153 nucleotides) under Geopora arenicola. RNAcentral's name for it is "5.8S ribosomal RNA". It matches the Rfam family "5.8S ribosomal RNA". From Rfam's summary of the family: 5.8S ribosomal RNA (5.8S rRNA) is a component of the large subunit of the eukaryotic ribosome. It is transcribed by RNA polymerase I as part of the 45S precursor that also contains 18S and 28S rRNA. The record is from RNAcentral. Lineage: Eukaryota; Fungi; Ascomycota; Pezizomycetes; Pezizales; Pyronemataceae.
ACUUUCAACAACGGAUCUCUUGGUUCUCGCAUCGAUGAAGAACGCAGCGAAAUGCGAUAAGUAGUGUGAAUUGCAGAAUUCCGUGAAUCAUCGAAUCUUUGAACGCACAUUGCGCCUCCCGGUAUUCCGGGAGGCAUGCCUGUUCGAGCGUCA